UCCCUGGUAGUAUAUCGGCUAGUACACCCGCCUGUCAUGCGAGUGCGCGGGAGAGCGGGGUUCGACUCCCCGCCAGGGAG
This 80-nucleotide transfer RNA is filed under the name Peniophora sp. CONT. RNAcentral's name for it is "tRNA-Asp". It matches the Rfam family "tRNA". From Rfam's summary of the family: Transfer RNA (tRNA) molecules are approximately 80 nucleotides in length. Their secondary structure includes four short double-helical elements and three loops (D, anti-codon, and T loops). The record is from RNAcentral. Lineage: Eukaryota; Fungi; Basidiomycota; Agaricomycetes; Russulales; Peniophoraceae.